Kineococcus radiotolerans is the source of this 60-nucleotide regulatory RNA element. It matches the Rfam family "msiK RNA". NCBI's taxonomy places the organism in Bacteria, Bacillati, Actinomycetota, Actinomycetes, Kineosporiales, Kineosporiaceae. The record is from Rfam.
UGAAGACCCCAUUCCACAACGGAUCGUCCGGCACGUACCUGCCGGUGGAAGGACACACGA